CUACGUAGGGAGCGAGCGUUGUCCGGAUUUACUGGGCGUAAAGGGCGCGUAGGCGGGUAAAUAAGUCAGAUGUGAAAACUAUGGGCUCAACCCAUAGCCUGCAUUUGAAACUGUAUAUCUUGAGGGCAGGAGAGGAAAGUGGAAUUCCUAGUGUAGCGGUGAAAUGCGUAGAUAUUAGGAGGAACACCAGUGGCGAAGGCGACUUUCUGGACUGAACCUGACGCUGAAGCGCGAAAGCAUGGGGAGCAAACAGGAUUAGAUACCCUGGUAGUCCAUGCCGUAAACGAUGAAUACUAGGUGUAGGGGGUAUCGACCCCCUCUGUGCCGCAGUUAACACAAUAAGUAUUCCGCCUGGGGAGUACGGCCGCAAGGUUGAAACUCAAAGGAAUUGACGGGG
This 397-nucleotide ribosomal RNA is filed under the name uncultured bacterium. Its description in RNAcentral is "partial 16S ribosomal RNA". It matches the Rfam family "Bacterial small subunit ribosomal RNA", at positions 523 to 918 of the family's 1533-position model. The record is from RNAcentral.